GAUGAACGCUGGCGGCGUGCCUAAUACAUGCAAGUCGAGCGAACAGAUAAGGAGCUUGCUCCUUUGACGUUAGCGGCGGACGGGUGAGUAACACGUGGGUAACCUACCUAUAAGACUGGGAUAACUUCGGGAAACCGGAGCUAAUACCGGAUAACAUUUGGAACCGCAUGGUUCUAAAGUGAAAGAUGGUUUUGCUAUCACUUAUAGAUGGACCCGCGCCGUAUUAGCUAGUUGGUAGGGUAACGGCUUACCAAGGCGACGAUACGUAGCCGACCUGAGAGGGGGAUCGGCCACACUGGAACUGAGACACGGUCCAGACUCCUACGGGAGGCAGCAGUAGGGAAUCUGCCGCAAUGGGCGAAAGCCUGACGGAGCAACGCCGCGUGAGUGAUGAAGGGUUUCGGCUCGUAAAACUCUGUUAUUAGGGAAGAACAAAUGUGUAAGUAACUGUGCACGUCUUGACGGUACCUAAUCAGAAAGCCACGGCUAACUACGUG
This 497-nucleotide ribosomal RNA is filed under the name uncultured bacterium. Its description in RNAcentral is "partial 16S ribosomal RNA". It matches the Rfam family "Bacterial small subunit ribosomal RNA", at positions 28 to 507 of the family's 1533-position model. The record is from RNAcentral.